This 89-nucleotide transfer RNA is filed under the name Streptomonospora litoralis. RNAcentral describes it as "Streptomonospora sp. M2 tRNA-Cys". The record is from RNAcentral. Lineage: Bacteria; Bacillati; Actinomycetota; Actinomycetes; Streptosporangiales; Nocardiopsidaceae.
CGGUGCGGUCGCGCACGGGCGCCGCGACGCAGCACACGUCGGGAUUGGACUCGCAGAUCUCCACCGCGGUCCCGGCCGCGCGCACCCGC